CAGGGAGACAACAAAAUGUUUAAUAUUAUUAUUUUGUCACCUUAGGUCGAUCGGUAUCUCACGUUUUUAAUUUAUUAAGAAUUUCAUUUCCUAAGUUUUUUCUAGGUCACACCCAUUAUUUUCCUGGGCCAUUAGCUCAGGUGGUUAGAGCGCACCCCUGAUAAGGGGGAGGUCCCUGGUUCAAGUCCAGGAUGGCCCAUAUCUCUAUGUUGGGGGUAUAGCUCAGUUGGUAGAGCGCCUGCUUUGCAAGCAGGAUGUCAGCGGUUCGAGUCCGCUUACCUCCACUGAUUACCACCUCUUCCAUAAUCAUGAAGAAAGGAAAAAUUUUGAGUUGUGAUCAAUUUCUGAACGAAUCUAGCUUCCUAAUGAAAUCAUUAAGAUGCUGGACUCAUUGAAUUAAUUUCAUUGUUUUCAGAGAACCUUGACAACUGCAUAGAUUAUUUUAAAGACAAUAAGCAUCUUUAAUGAUGCAGAUUUAUUAUUUGUGCGAAUGCAUUAAUAACAAUUCUAUUAAGCUGAUGCUUCAAUUUUUUGAAGUUAUU
This 542-nucleotide transfer RNA is filed under the name uncultured Prochlorococcus sp. RNAcentral describes it as "partial 16S-23S ribosomal RNA intergenic spacer". The stretch from base 212 to 284 matches the Rfam family "tRNA". Lineage: Bacteria; Bacillati; Cyanobacteriota; Cyanophyceae; Synechococcales; Prochlorococcaceae. The record is from RNAcentral.